Molecule: long non-coding RNA, 2163 nt
Organism: Homo sapiens (human)
Lineage: Eukaryota; Metazoa; Chordata; Mammalia; Primates; Hominidae
Source: Ensembl
CCACAAGCAGAGGGAGCUGGCUUCAGCCUCAGCCAGCACAGAGAGGGGCCCCCAUAGCGCAGUGGCGGGCUGAAGGGCUCCUUGAGCAUGGCCAGAGUGGACGCCAAGGCUGAGGAGGCGCCGAGAGCCAGUGAGGGCUGCUAGCAUGUUGUCACCUCUCAAUACAUAAAACUACUGGAGGGUGGUUCCAAGAUGGCCAAAUAGGAACAGCUCCAGUCUACAGCUCCCAGCAUGAGUGAUGCAGAAGACGAAUGAUUUCUGCAUUUCCAACUCAGUAGAGAGCUGACUUUAGAGGGAUCAAGAAUAGCUUGCUGGAUGGAAGGAGCUUGGGGCCAGUCAUCAUCUUAAAGGCUCUGUGGCAGCUUGGACUUGAAGUAGGGUGCACCCGGAAUUGACCAAUACAAACAGUGGACUGCACUGGAUUCUUCUUGUGCCCUGUCUCAUAUCCUCUUGUCCCACCUUUUCAUAACAGCCAUUGCCAUGGGAACCAGCUGCAUCCAGGUACGACCUGACAGCACCCUGCUUCACUGUCAUGGUGCUCCUGCAGCAUUCUGGUUAGCCAUCAUGUUGCACACACAGACCUGGAAGGGUCAGGGAGUUGCCCAUGGCAACUCUUGGCCACCAAGGGAAAGGACUAGCUCGAUAGCACACUCUUGCCUUGCGUUUCCCUAUUUUUCUUCUCUUAGUUGUUCAUACCUUGUUUCACAUCCCCAUAUAAGCCAUCUGUACCCAAGUCCUUGUUUCAUCUUCCAUUUCAGGAAAUACCAGGUUAAUACAGAAACGCAAACUACAACAAAUAAACAUUCACAUUUUAAAGUCAGGCAACAAAACUUUAUGCCUUUCAGAGCAUAAUGCUUUCUGACUUCAAAAUAUAAGACUUCAUGCUUGGCCCUUCUUUAUUAAGAACUUACUUAAAUCAGCAUAUCUUUGCAUGGGACUUCAAAUCCUUUCAUUUAAGGCAAGUUUUACAGCCAAUAUUAACGUUGGUGUACCAGUACCCUGUUCUUAAACUGGCUAAAGCAGCCUCAAAAUUCCCAAAGGGAAUAAUGAAAAUUCCUAACAUCCUUGGCAGGAAAACAGUUGGAAGUUUAAAUCAAGCUAAUUGUUUUGGCUAAUAUGUUUUUAAUAAAAUAAAUAUUAAAUUAAUAAUAAAAAAGAUUUCAAGCUAUUUACAAAGAGAAAGGAAGGGAGGGGUUGCAGAAUGCCCAACUAUAAGAAAUGUUGCUUGGAAACUACUCAAGAAGAUGCAUUUUUGAGAGCCAGGAACUCUGCUCUCCUUCAUUCUGCAAGAAAGGGAUAAUGCUUCUAUUCAAGACUUCUCUGAAAAGCCUCCAACCGUCAGGGGGCUGUGGACAAAAUAUAUUUUUAGUUUUAGCUUGCAUACUGAAAUAGUUUUUAAUUUUUUCAAAUUUUGAAGUGAUUUUUAAAUAGCUUAAGAGCUUGCAGUUAUUGUUAACAUUUAAAGGUGCUAUAUUCCAGGUAUUGGGCUAUGAGCUUUAUAAGUAUUAUUUAAUUUAGUUUGCUUUUCACAGCAACUCUAAGAGGUAGGCAUUGUUAUUAUCUCUGGCUCAUAGAUGGAGACACUGGACUUCACAGAGUUAAACAUAAGUUGCCCUGACCCAUACAGCUGUUAAGUAGAGAGGCUGAAGAUGGAAUGAAAGCCAGGUCUGGCAACUACAAAGCUCAGGCCCUUGAAUUCUAACCUUAACCACUUGCAAUUUAAAAUGUCUGAAAGAAGAAAUAUAAACUAAUUUUAAAAUACGUGAUGAGAAAAUUUUCCUGUUGCUGAAGGAAAACCUGGUAUGUGGAUUGAAGUAGUUCACAUUCUAUAAGAAGCAACAUAAGGAACAGGCACCAACACCUAGGCAUAACCUGGAGAUGUAAGACGUGUAAGGACAAAGGUGGGACACCCAGAUUGCUUAAAAGGAAAAGCACUCGGGCUAGGUCUAAUAUCUGUCAGUUCCUGUGGGCCUUAGUUCCUGCUAUUUUCUCUUCCUGUAACUCUCCCUCCUGUCACAUGCCACCUGAUUCUCUUGGCUUGAUGAACUCUUGUUCAUUUUCCCAAAAUUCCAAGGGGAUCUUCCUGAUUCCAUAUACCAGUUAAGUGUCUUCUGUGCAUUUUUCUGUAUCACCCUCUACUAACCCUCUGCUGGCACUCACCAC